Molecule: long non-coding RNA, 225 nt
Filed under: Daucus carota (carrot)
Lineage: Eukaryota; Viridiplantae; Streptophyta; Magnoliopsida; Apiales; Apiaceae
Description: long non-coding RNA (DCAR_LNC004900)
Source: RNAcentral
UGUGCUUUGACUCUUUCAAGAAAGAUAUGUUUCCAUGAUGACAUUCCAGGAAAACAGGCAUGUCCCGCAAGAGAAUCUUUGUUGUCAUCUUUCAAAGAUUAUUGACGGAACUGCUCACACGAUCACAUUUGCUGACAGGGUACUUUUGGUAAAUAUAUGAUUUCAGCUACUCAGCAAACAGAGUGCACCAAAAAUCAUAUGGAACAUAUGUAACCUGCAAUCACA